CUUUUCCCAGAGGCAGCUGCAUCUCAGUGCUGAGCGAGCCAUGCCCGUGCGGCGUUGCUGUGCGGCUGUUACCAAGCUGCCCUGCCCCAGAGGUGGCUGCAUCUUAGCACCACGUGUCAUGAUCCAUCCCCAUCCAUCCUCACUGUGUGGUUCUUACCCAGCUGCCAUCCAUCAGCAAACGGGGUCAAAACUCUGUUGCAGGGUUGAUCCAAUAACCCUCCUUUCUCCUUUUCAGUCACCCGCCCUGUUUGGGCUCCCACGUACAUCAUAGGACCUACAGUUGCGCUUGUCCUGUUGCUGCUGGUGGGGCUGGUCGGCGUCAUAGCUUGGAGGAAGAGGCGGAGCAAACGCCAGGGAAUGAGCAGCAAUCCGCACCCGCCGGGCCCGGGGGAGACCCCGAUGUCUGAUCGCAUCUAUGAGAACACCCAGCACUAUGGCAUGGGGAAGCCAGCCCGCCUGGCCCCACCCGGGGCCCCCAGCGCGACCACUGAAGUGUGCCCGGGCUCUUCGGCCAGCACCAGGCAAUCCCACAUCUACAGCCAGCCGAUGGACAUGGGCAAAGUACCACAGGGUGACCUGGACGAGGUCAACUACUCGGCCAUCCAGCUGCAGCCUCCCCCCCGGAGAGCAGAGCCUGAAGCCGACCUCACCUGCGAAUACGCUGCUAUUAAGCGCUAGCAUCCAGCUGUUGCUCACCUGGCGCCUCCCCCCAAAUUCAGGGCAGCCCCACGGCCUGGGCGACACACGAGGCCAGGCUGGGUGAUCUCCCCGCCCCCGGCUGAGCUGAGACUCUGGGAAUUAGGCUCCAAAUUCAGAGGUUUGCUAAGAUCUGGAUUCUUAGAAGUGGCCCCAUAAAUGGGGCAUUCAAGGGGGCGCCUCAGGGAUCGGAGGGUGGAGGGAGGCACUAAGGCCCAGCUCCUGGAAGGGAUUUCAGUGCCUAACUCCCCUGGGGCUUCACUCCCGCAGAAGGGCUUUUUCUGUCACUUCCCAUUGACUCAAUAGACAUUCCAGGCUUCAGCGCGACGCAGACACAGCGCGGCUCUGCUGGACUCACACUAUAAAGCUUUAGAACUAAAACACAAAGUGUCGACUGUCUUGUUAUAGCCGCUUGGCCCUGGGCUGGGAGAGAGACAAGGUGGGUGACGGUGAAAUCGAGGUUUCCUGCCAUUGAGUAAUGAAAAUAAUUGAAAUCUUCCGAGCCUACAUGUAUUUAUGUCAGACCAAGAGUCAGUGAGAGACCAGCCUUAUAACCAAUAACCGCCCUUAUCCUAAGCUAAUGCACCAAUUUCUUUGUGGCGGAUUCUAGGCCCCAUUGCCAAACCUCUUACUGAACAGACGUUCACUUAGUACGUCCACAGGCUUGGAGGAUUUGGUUUUUAGUGGUAAACGUCAAUUUCGCCAUAUUCACACCAACCGCCAAAACAUAUUUCCCUUGGUAAUAAUUGACAUCGGCAGAUGGGCCAGGUAAGAAAACUGUGGCUUGAGAACUUAGUGUUUGAUUUAAGGAUAUUGAGUUGGGAAUUUUGACCGGGGAUGUUGACGAUUUGUGUUUUAAGAGUUGUAAAGUGUUCACUCUUUCAACCUCGACACAUGCAGUCAUGAAAUAAAUAUUGGCUGACACACA
This 1624-nucleotide long non-coding RNA is filed under the name Chrysemys picta bellii (western painted turtle). Its description in RNAcentral is "lncRNA (ENSCPBG00000022781.1)". The record is from RNAcentral. Lineage: Eukaryota; Metazoa; Chordata; Testudines; Emydidae.